UCAAGCGUCCUCCGGUUAACGAGUCUCGAUGUUGCAUAAGUAACAGAUACCCGAGGGAAAUUGUGAUUGUUUCACCAACAAAACGUCAUAAUGAUACAGUGCCAAUGCUAUUUUUAAAAAAAUAGAUAAUACUAUUAAGAUUGCCAGAAUGUUCUGCCCUUUCAGCAGUGGUUCAAGUGGUAACAUACCAGAAUGAGACGCAGCUUUUCCUGAAAAAUCAAAGACUCUUAUGUAAUAUAAUCAAUCCGAAGCAAAUUUCUCCAACUGAAUAGAAGUUUUUCAAGUGUUCAUCUUCUCUCCAACUUCACUCAAAGACAUUUCACCUUCUAAAGGCCCUCUUUCGCGCAGAUUCCAAAAAAGUCAAAAAGAAUGAAUAUCCCUAUAGUUAGCCCUAUUCGCACAAGAAGGGAAGUCCCAACACUACAAGAAAUCGCACGUAUUUCUUGUGCAGUUUUAAUUUCAAACUUGGAUCAAAUUAAGCGUAUGUGUGAAAACAUAAACAGUCACAUUAAUUGCGAAUUUGUAACUCCUGAUAUGUUAUCGAAUAUGGCAAUUUAUCCAGAUGAAAGAAUUAAAAACGAAUUUAAAUUGGAGGCUGUAAAUAAACUAAAGGAUAUCUGCAUCCCUAAAAUAGUUAAAGCGGAACUUGCUGACUGCCUUUGCACAAUUUAUUCCGAUACCUUCAAAUUUCUUAACAUAAACUAUGUACUUCUGUUUGAAACACUCGAUUUAAAGACUUGCAUUGUUCUUUACUCCAACGGAUCGAUAAAUCAAAGAGAAAGUCUUCGUAGAAUAAUAAAUAACCCUAAUCUGAGUUGCAGAAUAAAAUUUGCCAGUGCUUAUGAAUUACGUUUUCCCCGAAGGACACUAUUAGGAUAUUGAAUGAAGUGAGAAUAUAUCGUAUUUUACAGAAGACUUUGUUUCAGUUAUUUUAGUUAGAAAUCUCUAUUGUAAUGAAGAGGAAAACAAUUAUCUUAAUAACAGAAGACAGUAACAAGAUGAAGAACAUAUCGCUUGGAUUAAUAUAGCUUGUAGAAAUGUGGAUUUUACUAAAAUAAGAAGACUAUGUGAAAAUCUGUAUGUCAAUCUAGACUAUUGUGUAUCAUCCCCUCAUGCGGCCUGGGAAAGGGAAUUAUCUUAUGAUAAUAGCAAGAUUUGAAAUCAGAUGCUCUAUAGAGACUCGGCGUUUAUCGUCUUGAGAAAGCUUACAGUUAAAAUUAUGGAUCAUCUUUUACCUCUAUUCACAAAUGUGCAACUUUAUUAACAUAAACAAUACGCCCACUGAUUUCAAAGCAUGCAUCGUUCUUAACCUCGAUGGAUCAAAAAACAAAAUAAAGUAACAAGUUCUCCAUUGCUUGUGCUUUAUAUUCUGAAGAAAUUCUUCUUAAAUGUAUGGGAUAAUGUGACAGAAGAUGAUGUGUACUCUUAUAGAACAUCGAAUAUCUAUAAAGACAAAGUUAAACCUCCAUUUAUGAAGUUGUGGAGAGAUAUUCCCCUAGAUGGAAAAGAGGAUUGGCUAUUAUGCAAGAAUUUCCCCGAGUGUAUUGCACCUCAUUGUGAAGACGCUCAUUAUAUUAUAUUGUUAUAAACCUAUAUUCGAUUAUAGGCCUAUUUUAUUUUACUUGUGAAACCAGAUUCCAAAAAAGUCAAAAACUAGGAAUAUGGCAGCUGAAGGAUCUCAGGAGGAGUUUUCAGAGAAUGUCGCACCACUAAAACAAAAGGCAUUUGUUUCUUUGGCAGUUUUAAUUGCAAACUUUGAUAAAGUAAAGUACUUCUGUGAAGAGGACCAACGCUGUCGCACAAUAUACUUGGCGCGUAUAUUAGGAUGCUCAACCAUUGGUCUUUCGUUUCCGCCAACGGUAAUUAAUGAGAAUGAUCUACAAGUUCUUCAGAUGGAGGCUAUGGCUAAGCUCCCGAAAGAUGGCAGCAUCCCGGACGAACUUAGAAAAGAACUUGACGACUACCUUCACAAAAUUUAUACAGAAUUCUACAAAUUUCUUAACACGAACUCUGCGCUUUUAAGCGAGAACAGUAAUUUGAAAGAGUGCAUUGUCUUUAAUGCCGAUGGAUCGAUAAAUCGUUGCAAAACUCAGAACAAAAUAAUAAAUAAUCCUAAUCUGAGUUCCAAAACAAAAUCUGAGUUUCAAAACAAGAUCGGCCACCCCGCUUUUAAGCAAAAAAAGUAAUUUCAGAGAAUGCAUUGUCCUUUAUGCCGUCGGAUCCAUAAAUCGUUGGAGAACUCACAAAAAAUUAAUAAAUAAUCGUAAUCUGAGUUUCAAAACAAGAUCAGCCAGUGCUUGUAAAUUGCAACCCAUUAUCCAGAGACAUGGUGUAAAAGCAUAUGAGGUUUUUCAUAAAAUUUAGUUUCUGUUAUGGCAGUUAGAAAUCUCAUCUUGUAAUGAUAAUGGGAAAAAAAAAACUCUUAAUAGCUAAAGACAACAACAGAUGAUGAAGGUGAACACACUCUUGCUGUUUAAAGCAAUCCUGUAAUAGAAUUGAAUCUCAUUUUUCCUUCUACAGAGCAGCGAAACAAUUUUCAAAACAACAUUCAGUAAGAAUUAAUAAUAUUUUUAUAAUGGAACAACGUUGCCAUAGAAUCUUAAUUAAUCUUUAGAAAUUAUCGAUAAAUUUGUGUAGAUACUAUGGAUUAUUUCCAUAACUAAGUGAGAAAUUAUAGGAAUGUACAAAUAUAAUGACGCUGAGAACUUGCCUUUCUCACCAUUUCUGUCACAUUCUUCAGCGUAAUUGAGAGAAUCUCAAAACAGCGGAAUGCUAUUUAAUAAGACAUUGAGUAUAUGAUUUAGUUACAUUUUUAUGAAAGCAAACAUCCUGCUCCAAACGACGAUAAAAGAAAAGUGAUGAAACUGGAAACUUUCUAGUUUCUUCUUUCGCGGUUGGUGAAACUUAUUAGAGCAUUUCAUCUAGUUCUUUAGUGCUGUAUUUAAGUCGAAGUGUGUAUUAUUCCCUAUAGGACAUUAUUGCGAUAUGGAAUGAAGUGGCAGGAUAUGAGAUUUUUCGGAAAAUUUAGUUUCUGUUAUGGUAGUUAGAAUUUAAUAUUGUAAUGAUGUGGGAAACAUUCUGUUAAAAGCAUAAGACAACUACGAAGUAAAGAUGGACACACUCUUGUGAGUUUCGUUUCUACUACUAAAACAAAACUCACAGCAAGCAGACCAGUAAUAAAACAGAGCAUUUGGUAAAUGACUUGAAUACAUUUUUAUGAAAGCAUGCAUGUCUGGAUACUGGAAUAGACUAUUCCGAUGUAUAUCAAAAUCCCAGAGAAAUGACUGUAAAUACUGUACAUCAUUUUUUAAAUCCUGACUAAGCGAUGAAAAUCGAAAGUAAUGGAACUGGAAAUUUUCUAGUUUUGAUGAAAAUUAUUUGAGCAUUUUAACUAGUACUCUUGUACUAUAUUCGUGUCGAAGUGUGUAUUUAAAUUCUGUGGACAAAGUUUAUUGCAUGUUUGUGAUUUAAAAAUUCUGCUGCCAUAUCUUCUAAGUUAUUUCUUUCAGCUUGGAAAAAUGGGAUUUACUUUUUUUAGUAUUUUUAUCGAUGAUUUUAAGUGUUUCAUAUAUUAAUUGGUGUUAUAUUUGUUAUUUACUACCUUAUAUAUACAUUUGAGAAUAAUGUAUUUGUUGAUUUCUUUGCUAUUCACUUGUACAUGUCACAGCUUAUGUGAAUGCAUAGUUCUCAUGUUAUGAAAGUUCUUUAAUUCAUUGUAAAUAUCAUCAUUCUGUAAUUUUUAAUAACGGUUUAAAAUUUUAAUAAUGUUUUCCUCUAUUUUUCUUCUUUAUGAAUUUUGGUUCUAUUCUAUAAUAUAAGGAAAUUCAGAGUAAAUUCUUGUUAGAUUAAUGUAUUUGUUUGAAGUAUUUAAUAUUUUAAUAUUAUUCAGGCUUUUUAAUUUAUCAAAUUUUAUAAAGCUAUCCCAAUCAAAAUGUACAUUUUUGUGCAAAUUUCACUACUUAUUAUUUGUUUAUAUUUUAAAGACUUUAAUAUAUUUCAAGUAUUCAGUAAUACUUUCAGAAUACUUCCAGUAUUUUCUUCGAUGCUUUUAAUUGUUUUAUAUAUUUGUUGGUGUUAUAUUUUUUAUUUACUGUUAUAUAUAUAUGGGUUGUUGACUUGUGUUCGAUUCACUUAUACAUGUCACAGCUAAUGUACAUACAUAAUUCUCAAUACAUAAUUCUCAUGUUAUGAGAACUCUUAAAAUCUUUGUAAAUAUUCAUUCUAUUAUUUUUAAUAACACUUUGAGCUUUCGUUCCACUAUUUUUUCCCCCUUCAUUAACGCAAUUCAUUUCUACAAUCUAAAGAAAUUCAGAGUAAAUCUUGUUAAACGAAUGUAAUUAUUUCAAAUAUUUAACAUUCAAAUUAUUUUAAUAAUUAAAUUUAAUAUUAAUUCAUCAAAUUUUAUAGAACUAUCCCAAUGAAAAUGUACAUUUUUGUGCAAAUUUCACUAUUAUUAUUUAUUUAUAUUUUAAAGAAUUUAAUAUAUUUCAAUUUUUUUGAAUUCAACAUAAUUUCAUGAUACCAUGAAAAGUGAGAUAAAACUUUUUCUUGGGAUCGAAUAAUUUUAAUUUUUAUCAUUUAAUAUUUUUUAAAAUAGCUUGAUUUUAAUAGCUCCAAUUGCAUUGAUACGACAGUGUCUUGUUUUAUUUUCAAAGAAAAUUAUUGGAUAAAAGUAACCGCCUUGAAUAUAUGUAUCUUAACAUACAGAACUUUUUGAAUGUUUAUUCAGUAAUGCAUAUGUACUUUCAUGCAUUAAAUAAAUUGCUUAUCUUCACUUUCA
Molecule: long non-coding RNA, 4780 nt
Organism: Argiope bruennichi
Lineage: Eukaryota; Metazoa; Arthropoda; Arachnida; Araneae; Araneidae
Exons: 5
Source: RefSeq, a predicted model, not a curated record